UUGCUAAUUGAUUUUAGGUCAAUUCUACUGAAAUGUAUUCUAGUUUCCUUCCUCAUAUUUUAUGCUGAUCUUUUAGUUUCUUACAGUUCUAUAGAUUUGAUCAUUUUCUUACGGAGAAUAAAAUAUUUUAGUUUGCACAUUUUCAUUUGUGGAUACUGACUGCUUGGUGUAAAUCUUUGUAUAUCUUCAUAUCUUUAUAUCUUUUCCUAAGUAUAGGUCAGAAAGGCUGCUUUUGUAAGACGGAGAUUUCAUUAUCUCUGGAAGUGGAACAGUCUGUUUGUCUUCAUCCUCCCCGGCUAGAACUUUUUUUUUUUUUUUUUGAAGUUCCUCUUCUGACAGAAAUGUGAAUAUUUCCUUGUCAUUGGCACUUCAUUCUUCAAUUGCUCUAAGAUCAUGCUGAUUCAAAGAGAACUUGUGAAACAGGGACCUUGCUGCACCUUUUGACAGGAGAGCAGGAUUUGGAGUAGUCUGGAGACAGCACCUGUGGAAAGAAAUCAGAGUUCAUAAACAAUGCCAGAACACUGGAACCACUCUCUUGGAGGAAUUGAAAAGAUGUUUUUUUAAAAAUCUGCCGAUAUUUGUACAUCUUACAUUUAAACAUUGUGGAAUUUCAUCUUUCACAUGUCUAGUUUUCAUGUGAACCCUAGAAAACGACCUAACUGAAGAGAUUUCAGAGGAGAACUACAGAUCUAGCUAACAGUUGAAAAUGUGGUUUGCAAGGGAUUCAGUCUGCUGUCUCUGCAACAAGCAGAAGUCAAUACGAUCACCUUCUAUUAGAGGAAAAUAUCACUUGAGGAUUUUAAAUUAAGACUUUUUGCACUGUGUGCUUCUCCCACAUUUAUUGGACACUUGAAAUCUUUGGGGAAAGUUGUAGAGGCUCUGUACAGAACUUCAGAACAGGCAAUCUCAGUCAUCACUAUAUGUCUGAAAGUAAGAGAACAGUGAAAAUGAAAUGUCCUAACAUUAAAACUUGUUGCUGAUUGA
Meleagris gallopavo (turkey) is the source of this 984-nucleotide non-coding RNA. The record is from RefSeq and is a predicted model, not a curated record. NCBI's taxonomy places the organism in Eukaryota, Metazoa, Chordata, Aves, Galliformes, Phasianidae.